This is a long non-coding RNA of Bombus huntii, 449 nucleotides long. RefSeq lists it as uncharacterized. Lineage: Eukaryota; Metazoa; Arthropoda; Insecta; Hymenoptera; Apidae. The record is from RefSeq and is a predicted model, not a curated record. The transcript has 2 exons.
ACUAAAAACAUACAACUAAUAGAAUCAAAGAUUCUAUCGAACAAACAGAUUAUGAUGCUUCUUAAAUAUCUAGCUUCCUGUUAUCUGUUUUGGAAAGAUAUAAUUUAAUUUAUUGAUAAUUUAUCAGCAAACAAAGGGCAUUGUCUCCUUAACAAUACCUAUUGUUCUCCCACAUAUCUUAUAGAGCAAUGGAGAAGUAAACAAUAAUAUCUGUUAUACUCUGCAUAAUUGUGUUCUACUUUAUUUAGCUACUUUAGUUAAAUUAGGAAAGAUGAGAUUUAAGAAACAGAAUUUCUUUAAAUUUUAAGCUUACAGGGCUUUAUUUCUGGCCAGACGUCCUUUUUGAUACGUUCAUCUUCAAAUGGAAUACUAGCAUAGCUGAAGAAGAACGGAUUGGUUCUGCCAAUGCCGUAACUGGGAAGUAAGUCAAUUUAUAGAGCGGCAUCUUC